UUUCAGUUUUGACCAUUUUUGGUCACCGAAAGCUCUAUCGAACUGUAAUCUUUAGCAGAUAGCAGUUCGAUUUUAUUCUCCACCUUUCGGGUGUCAGAAUGACAUGAAACUUUAAAUCUAGCCUCAUAAAAAUAAUUCUGACAUAUUCUCUAGUUUUCAUAAUUUUCCGACAAUGUACAUUUUCUGCUAAAAUAUCAGCCCCGCUUCUCACAAAAAAUUCUAAAUUUUCUGUUUUCGUUCUGAUUUCAGCACAGGUCGUUUUCGACUUAUAUUUCACUUCUCUAAAUCCAAUAAAAAUAGUAUCUCAUACUAUUUUUAUUUAUUUUUACUUUUAUAUUAAAAUUCGGUAUAUUACAUUUCACCGUAACUUCAUAACUACAGAAGUUCGGCACCUUACAGCUACACUUGUGGUCAGCCCGGACAUAUGAGGUCAGCUUGUCCUCGUGUAGCAUCACCAGCACCAUCUACUGCAUCAGCGCAGCCGGCAUCCCAGCAGUCCUUUGGAGCAGCACCGAGUUUCCGCCAGGAGGACAGAUCGUCUGUGCCGCGUCAGGCUGAGCGGCGACAGCAGGCUCCAAGUGGCAGAGUUUACGCAGCUCAGGUGGCGGAUUCUUCAGCAGCUGAUCGAGUG
RNAcentral lists this long non-coding RNA (631 nucleotides) under Ananas comosus (pineapple). RNAcentral describes it as "long non-coding RNA (ACOM_LNC042012)". Lineage: Eukaryota; Viridiplantae; Streptophyta; Magnoliopsida; Poales; Bromeliaceae. The record is from RNAcentral.